RNAcentral lists this ribosomal RNA (309 nucleotides) under uncultured bacterium. Its description in RNAcentral is "partial 16S ribosomal RNA". It matches the Rfam family "Bacterial small subunit ribosomal RNA", at positions 504 to 807 of the family's 1533-position model. The record is from RNAcentral.
AGAGACAGCAGUAGCCACGGUAAUACGGAGGGGGCUAGCGUUGUUCGGAAUUACUGGGCGUAAAGCGCACGUAGGCGGCUUGGUAAGUUAGAGGUGAAAGCCUGGAGCUCAACUCCAGAAUUGCCUUUAAGACUGCCGAGCUAGCAGGUGAGAGAGGUAAGUGGAAUUCCGAGUGUAGAGGUGAAAUUCGUAGAUAUUCGGAAGAACACCAGUGGCGAAGGCGGCUUACUGGCUCAUACUGGACGCUGAGGUGCGAAAGCGUGGGGAGCAAACAGGAUUAGAUACCCCCGUAGUCCCUGUCUCUUAUAC